AAGGAAUAUUGGUCAAUGGAGGCAACUCUGAACCAGCCAUGCCGCGUGCAGGAUGAAGGCCCUAUGGGUCGUAAACUGCUUUUAUACCAGAGAAAACCCUUCCACGUGUGGAAGGCUGAUAGUAUGGUAAGAAUAAGCAUCGGCUAACUUCGUGCCAGCAGCCGCGGUAAGACGAAGGAUGCAAGCGUUAUCCGGAUUCAUUGGGUUUAAAGGGUGCGUAGGCGGACCAGUAAGUCAGUGGUGAAAUCUCUUUGCUUAACAAAGAAACUGCCAUUGAUACUGCUAGUCUAGAGUAUAGAUGACGUUGGCGGAAUAUGACAUGUAGUGGUGAAAUACUUAGAUAUGUCAUAGAACACCGAUUGCGAAGGCAGCUAACGAAACUAUAACUGACGCUGAGGCACGAAAGUGCGGGGAUCAAAC
RNAcentral lists this ribosomal RNA (420 nucleotides) under uncultured bacterium. RNAcentral's name for it is "bacterial SSU rRNA". It matches the Rfam family "Bacterial small subunit ribosomal RNA", at positions 356 to 773 of the family's 1533-position model. The record is from RNAcentral.